This 253-nucleotide ribosomal RNA is filed under the name uncultured bacterium. RNAcentral describes it as "partial 16S ribosomal RNA". It matches the Rfam family "Bacterial small subunit ribosomal RNA", at positions 524 to 776 of the family's 1533-position model. The record is from RNAcentral.
UACGAAGGGGGCUAGCGUUGCUCGGAAUCACUGGGCGUAAAGCGCACGUAGGCGGACUCUUAAGUCGGUGGUGAAAUCCUGGAGCUCAACUCCAGAACUGCCUUCGAUACUGAGAGUCUCGAGUCCGAGAGAGGUGAGUGGAACUGCGAGUGUAGAGGUGAAAUUCGUAGAUAUUCGCAAGAACACCAGUGGCGAAGGCGGCUCACUGGCUCGGUACUGACGCUGAGGUGCGAAAGCGUGGGGAGCGAACCGG